Pistacia vera is the source of this 3812-nucleotide long non-coding RNA. RefSeq lists it as uncharacterized. The transcript has 3 exons. NCBI's taxonomy places the organism in Eukaryota, Viridiplantae, Streptophyta, Magnoliopsida, Sapindales, Anacardiaceae. The record is from RefSeq and is a predicted model, not a curated record.
CCCUAAAUCCCCAGUCUACUGCCGUCGUCCGUCCUCGUCAUAGCCUCUUCACCGAUUCCUUCUCCACAAACCGUAGUCUGGUACUUUCAUCGCCUCUUCGCCGAUUCCGGCCUCCACGAACCUUAAUCUGCUACCGGCAUCGCCUCUUCCGAAUCCGGCCUCCAUGAACCGUAAUCUGCUCUAGUCAUCGCCUCUUCGCCGAUUCUGGCCUCCACAAACACUAAUCGGCUACCGUCAUCGCCUCCACGAUUCUACGUUUCCCGAUUCAAGUUGUUUGUUACAGUAUGCGAUGUUGCAGGAUGGGUUUUCAAGGUCUCAAUCAGGAUGGUUUUGAAUUAGUUUUUUUAAUCAGCACCAAAAACACAGAUUGAAUUUAGUGUUUCUUAUGGUUUUUUGAGGAAAAAGUUACAUUUAAGCUCAACUUUGCCAUAUUGGUGGCUAUGGUGCUAAUUGUGGUUGAUUUGAUUUGAUUUGAUAAAUAUUGGUUGCCACAAGCAUGUUUCAUGCAUAAGUUAUCCUGUUGCAGCUUAAGCAUCUUUUCGUUUUGGACUUGAUACUCUUUGUGGUGCCCUCAAGUUGAAUUAAAUUGUGUUUGUCAAUUUGUUGUUGGAUGUCAAAUUAAAUUGUGUUUUCCACUUUAUUUAGGAUAAAAGUGAUUGCGAGUGCAGCUAAUGCCAUCAUUUAAGAGCUCUAGACUAUAUGUUCUAAUUUGUCCGCCUUUUAGAAGGUUUUUCAAGUCUUGUGAUAGGAGUAAAGCUGUGACUUGACAGAAGACAGACGACAGAAGAUUUAUUAUUUGGAUUUAAGAUGUGUUACUGUUAUGAUGUUUUUGUUGGUUAAUGAUAUAAUUUUCAUGUUAUUUGUUUUGUUAAAUUCAGUCUGCACUGUUUUGCAGCGUUAAUCAUAAACAUGUUUUGGGGUUUGAGAAAUUUACUAUAUAAUAUUCUCAGGAUAAAAUUAUAUGAUACUGUGGAAUCAUCUUUAUUUAAAGCAGUGGAACUUGUUCAAAUCAAUUUUAUGAUACUGCAAAUACCAUUAUUAAUAUGAAUAAGUCUGAUUUUUAAAUUUGUAAUAAAUAAUUGUCUCUGGGUCAUUUUAUUAAUAUUUGUUUUGAUAAUAAUUGAAAAAAAUGCUAUUUAUAUAAUGGAUACCUGAUUUCAAGAAGCAGUAUGCGGGGAAUGAGUGGGGAAAACCCCUGAAUUUGGGGCGGGCUGGGAUGGGGAUGGGAGUCUCCACAUUCCCCUGUGCCGGGCCUAGGGAUUCCCCAACAUCCCCGUCCCGGGGAUGGGCUAGACUAGGGGAAUCCCCUUGGGCCCUCAGCCCGGACCUGGAGAUAGGGAUCCCCAGCCUCGGCCUGGCCCGUGCCCGUGCCCGUGCCCGUCCCUAGGUUCUAGUUCUACUACUUGUACAUACAUAACUGUAAUAUGCAUAACCAUAGAGAGCAAUAAUUUACUUCGAUUUUUGUUGAACAAAACAGAUAUAUGCUUGGAUUGGUUGUAACUCUGCCAAAUUUGGCCGCUUAUAUGCAGCCGCGCCUAGUUGGCCUGUAAGUUUAUGUAAUUCAAUGUUUAUUAGUAAAUUUGAAAUUAUGAAAAUCAUCUUUAUUAUAAAUUUUUAAAUGAAUUUUCAGCUAGCAAUAUAGUUAAAUGAAACCAAAACAUUGUGUAACCAAAAUAUCUGUUUGGUGUUAGGACCAAUGUUCCAAAAACCGGAAUGGACUAUGACCUGUUCAAGGGUCCGGUUUUCGGUUUGACCGGCUGGAUUGGUCGGUUAGACCGUAUUCUGUAAAAUUAUUUUUAGUCCCUAGAGGUUUGAAACUCAUCAAAAACACCCUUAUAAUAUUCCCUUAAGGUUUGAAAUCUGUCUAAAACACCUGUGUCGCGCAAAGAAGCUGGUGAGUGGUGGCGGCAGCGACGAUCGACGGCCAAUCGAAGUUGGAAUCAUGGGGCUUUUGAUGUAUAGGUUCCGGCGAAUCUUAUGGUGGUGCUAGGGAGUUCCGUCGUCACCGGAACUUGCCGGAAUCAACAAAAGAAGCCUGAUGGUCGCGUGAACUUUAGGUGGACGGUGAGCGAUGAAGGCUAGACGACGGCGACUGAAAAUGGUUGGGUUUUGUCGUGGAGAUGCCGUCACGUCGAAUGGUGGUGUUUUAUUCGUCGAACGAUGCCGGAAUCCGACGAGAUUGAGCAGCGAUUGGACCGCGACUCGGCAGUAUUUCGGUGGUCUGACCGCGGUUCAAUCCGGUUUAACGGGAAAUAACGGUUUUUGUGAGAUAUCGGACCGGAAAUACCGUCGGCUCCCGGUCGAACCAGUCUGACUGGACGGUCCGGUCCGGUUCUCAGAACAUUGGUCAGGACACCAGUAAUGUAGUAUGAACCUAGAAGGAAAGAGAUAAAGUAAAUGAGAUUUUUCUUAUUGUAAUUUUUUAUGAUGAUGCACAGAAAAAUACAGUGAUUGUUAGUUCAAUAAUUGGAGGGGUUUCUGACAAUAUUGGAUCCGGCAUUGCUCAAAGAUUGGGUAUAUAUUGUGUUUAUGAGUUGGAUUACAUGUUUUAUAGUUGUAGAGGUUUUUGUGUUGGCUGAUAUAAAUGUUUGUGGCAGUGACAAAGACUGGUCUCAAUGUGAUUUUGGCUUGCAAUAUAGCCAAGAAUAGUCCUAUGAUUGAGGUUUGGUUCCUCUCAUGUGUUUGUGUUUUGGUUAUUGACCUUGUUAUGUGUGAUUCACUUCUUUUUGUUGUUGUGUGUGUUUAGAGCUUGUAGCUAUAUAUGUAUUGAGUUUUUACGUAAAUGCGGAGAAGAAGUUGGUUGAGAAGCUGAUAAGUUUGGGGUAUUCUAGGCCAACAUCUUCAUAGCAAAGAGGGACCACCUUUCUGUUUGGUUGAAAGUGCCAUUAUGAUAUAUGUUCCUGUUGAAACAGAGGAAUUAUUAAAGGGGUUCAAUGCCCAUAUACUGAUUCACUGAUAGUAAUUUGUUUUGUUUUCCUCAAUAGUUGAUAUUCAAUGAUUUGGAGGUGUUAUAAUUGAAUCUUGAAUAGCUCAAGCUUUUUCCUUAUUAGGAGCCCUGUCUUGUUACACAAGAAAGGUUACUGUUAUGAAGAACAUUUCAAUUUUCCCUUAUCCGGUUUGUAAACAGUUGUUCCUAUGAAUUCUGUGUGCAUUGAUCUUGCCGCUUUUUCCUGUUUAUGACUGAUGUGAUUUCUGUUGCUACUUAUGUAAUUUAUUAACACAUCUUGUGGAACUGAUGGUGCAAAGCUGCCCUUUGGAUCAAUGAGACAAGUUGAUUAUAAUGGCUCAAUUUCAGGUCUGAAUCUGUAUUCUUCAGUAACCCAACACACGAUGCCAACUUUUUAUCUGUACAGCCAUCUGGAACCCAACACAUCAUCCUCCCUGAAUAUUAAUAUUUGUAAUUUUGUUGACACCUCCAAGAAUAGAAUUGAUACUUAUUAAAUGUUCAAAAAGUAAUCCUCUUAAGCAAAGGAUAAAGUACCUUUAAAAAAAUUUUAAGAUUGGAAUAUUAGCUUCCUUCUGUUCCUGAUAAAAGACUAUGAAGCUGAUUGGUGUAACCUGUAUCUCUACAAUUCAACAAAUUGCCAUGGACGGAAUCUUUGAUGAUAAGGAUGGGAUCAUAAGAUCUACGUCAGAUGCACACAACUCAUUACACUGUCAAAAUCAAUUAUUUUCACUACUAUGAAGAAUGCAGUGGAGAAAUAUGAAUCUGGGAAUUUGAGGCCGGAGGCUACAAAUGUUAUAUUUUCUUUCCCAUAAACCAAAGCGUAUGUUUGCGAGGUGGCAUUUGUUAUGUUGUUUGAAGUUUAAAU